Molecule: ribosomal RNA, 434 nt
Filed under: uncultured bacterium
Lineage: Bacteria
Description: bacterial SSU rRNA
Rfam family: Bacterial small subunit ribosomal RNA
Source: RNAcentral
UACGGAAGGCAGCAGUGGGGAAUAUUGCACAAUGGGCGCAAGCCUGAUGCAGCCAUGCCGCGUGUAUGAAAAAGGCCUUCGGGUUGUAAAGUACUUUCAGUCGUGAGGAAGGUGUUAAGGUUAAUAACCUUAGCAAUUGACGUUAGCGACAGAAGAAGCACCGGCUAACUCCGUGCCAGCAGCCGCGGUAAUACGGAGGGUGCGAGCGUUAAUCGGAAUUACUGGGCGUAAAGGGCACGCAGGCGGUUAAUUAAGUUGGAUGUGAAAUCCCCGGGCUUAACCUGGGAAUGGCAUUCAAGACUGGUUAGCUAGAGUCUUGUAGAGGGGGUAGAAUUCCAUGUGUAGCGGUGAAAUGCGUAGAGAUGUGGAGGAAUACCGGUGGCGAAGGCGGCCCCUGGGACAAAGGACUGACGCUCAUGUGCGAAAGCUGGGGA